CGCGGCCUAUCAGCUUGUUGGUGGGGUAAUGGCCUACCAAGGCGACGACGGGUAGCCGGCCUGAGAGGGUGACCGGCCACACUGGGACUGAGACACGGCCCAGACUCCUACGGGAGGCAGCAGUGGGGAAUAUUGCACAAUGGGCGCAAGCCUGAUGCAGCGACGCCGCGUGAGGGAUGACGGCCUUCGGGUUGUAAACCUCUUUCAGUAGGGAAGAAGCCGUGAGGUGGCGGUACCUGCAGAAGAAGCGCCGGCUAACUACGUGCCAGCAGCCGCGGUAAUACGUAGGGCGCAAGCGUUAUCCGGAAUUAUUGGGCGUAAAGAGCUCGUAGGCGGUUUGUCGCGUCUGCUGUGAAAGACCGGGGCUCAACUCCGGUUCUGCAGUGGGUACGGGCAGACUAGAGUGCAGUAGGGGAGACUGGAAUUCCUGGUGUAGCGGUGAAAUGCGCAGAUAUCAGGAGGAACACCGAUGGCGAAGGCAGGUCUCUGGGCUGUAACUGACGCUGAGGAGCGAAAGCAUGGGGAGCGAACAGGAUUAGGUACCCUGGUAGUCCAUGCCGUAAACGUUGGGCACUAGGUGUGGGGGACAUUCCACGUUUUCCGCGCCGUAGCUAACGCAUUAAGUGCCCCGCCUGGGGAGUACG
This 644-nucleotide ribosomal RNA is filed under the name uncultured bacterium. RNAcentral's name for it is "bacterial SSU rRNA". It matches the Rfam family "Bacterial small subunit ribosomal RNA", at positions 232 to 884 of the family's 1533-position model. The record is from RNAcentral.